CAACGAGUAGUUUAAUAUUAAAAUUCUGGUUUUGGGGACCAGAGAUGAAGUAGAUUCCUCUUUGA
This 65-nucleotide transfer RNA is filed under the name Eunectes notaeus (yellow anaconda). RNAcentral's name for it is "partial transfer RNA-Pro". It matches the Rfam family "tRNA". Rfam says of the family: Transfer RNA (tRNA) molecules are approximately 80 nucleotides in length. Their secondary structure includes four short double-helical elements and three loops (D, anti-codon, and T loops). Lineage: Eukaryota; Metazoa; Chordata; Lepidosauria; Squamata; Boidae. The record is from RNAcentral.